AAACGACCACGAAGAAAGGGAAAGGAUGUGAAAAAGGUUCUGGAGGUUGGUGACGAACAAAAGAAAAUGACCGACUUUGACAAAGCUGCAAGUAAAAUAAGCCAAGCUGGUGAAGCUCAAAAUGGUGGUCAAAAGAAUGGAAGUCAAAUAAGAAAAUACUCGAGGGAGGAGAUGGAGACCCUGCGGUUUGUGAACAUUGUAGAGCAGAGAAAGUUGUGGAGAGUUAUAUGCACUGGGCUUGGAGACGCUGUUGUAAAGGAGUAUAAUGACUUGGC
This 275-nucleotide unclassified non-coding RNA is filed under the name Hevea brasiliensis (rubber tree). Lineage: Eukaryota; Viridiplantae; Streptophyta; Magnoliopsida; Malpighiales; Euphorbiaceae. The record is from RNAcentral.